UACGAAGGGGGCUAGCGUUGCUCGGAAUCACUGGGUUUAAAGGGUGCGUAGGCGGGCAGGUAAGUCCGUGGUGAAAUCUCUGAGCUUAACUCAGAAACUGCCAUGGAUACUAUUUGUCUUGAAUGUUGUGGAGGUAAGCGGAAUAUGUCAUGUAGCGGUGAAAUGCUUAGAUAUGACAUAGAACACCCAUUGCGAAGGCAGCUUACUACACAAAUAUUGACGCUGAGGCACGAAAGCGUGGGGAUCAAACAGG
RNAcentral lists this ribosomal RNA (253 nucleotides) under uncultured bacterium. RNAcentral's name for it is "partial 16S ribosomal RNA". It matches the Rfam family "Bacterial small subunit ribosomal RNA", at positions 524 to 776 of the family's 1533-position model. The record is from RNAcentral.